This is a long non-coding RNA of Mytilus californianus (California mussel), 847 nucleotides long. RefSeq lists it as uncharacterized. The record is from RefSeq and is a predicted model, not a curated record. The transcript has 3 exons. NCBI's taxonomy places the organism in Eukaryota, Metazoa, Mollusca, Bivalvia, Mytilida, Mytilidae.
GCUCCUUGAUUAAAUAUAAAAAUAUACAUAACCGGUUUUGUGGCGACCCAUGCAUCAUAGUUUGUGUGCCAAGUUACAAAUGUUGAAGAUUAUGUUAACAUCUUUAUUAUGUUGGUAUUUUUGGUUUUUGUUUGGUUGCUGCCUCAUUUACUCUCAAAUAGGUUUUUUCAUACAUACCCUGUGUAUGCCUUUGUUAAGAAAAUGAAAAUUAUAUGACACCUGAAUGCGUAUUAAAUGAUUCUAAAUAGAAGACAACCAAAUAGUCCCUUACAGUUGUACAAAUAAACAAGCAAAUAGUCCCUUACAGUUGUACAAAUAAACAAGCAAAUAGUCCCUUACAGUUGUACAAAUAAACAAGCAAAUAGUCCCUUACAGUUGUACAAAUAAACAAGCAAAUAGUCCCUUACAGUUGUACAAAUAAACAAGCAAAUAGUCCCUUACAGUUGUACAAAUAAACAAGCGAAGGCCGUACGGUGACCUAUAGUUGUUAAUUUCUGUGUCAUUUGGUCUCUUGUGGAGAGUUGUCUCAUUGGCAAUCAUAUCAAAUCUUUUUUUUGUGAGCAAAUACAUUCAAUUUGGUAAAUACGAACGAAUGAUCUAACUGGUAAUUAAUUUUCUUAGCAAGGGCUAAAAUAAAUCUUUGGAAGCCCGAUCAACAUGGAAGUAUUACAAAAUUAUAAACUGAACAAUUAAACAAGAAAGGGAGAAUCAUAGUCAAAGUUAGCAGGUCAUAUCAAUUAUAAACAAUGGUAAAUUGAACAAUGACAGUAUAACAUAACUAGUACAUGUAUGUAUGUUUGUAAUAUUUAAGAUAUACAUGUGUAACAGUAUUUAUAACUAUUAAGUU